RNAcentral lists this ribosomal RNA (251 nucleotides) under uncultured prokaryote. RNAcentral's name for it is "partial 16S rRNA". It matches the Rfam family "Bacterial small subunit ribosomal RNA", at positions 525 to 775 of the family's 1533-position model. The record is from RNAcentral.
ACGUAGGGUGCAAGCGUUGUCCGGAAUUAUUGGGCGUAAAGAGAUCGUAGGCGGCUUGUCGCGUCUGCUGUGAAAACCCGGAGCUCAACUCCGGGCCUGCAGUGGGUACGGGCAGGCUAGAGUGUGGUAGGGGAGAUUGGAAUUCCUGGUGUAGCGGUGGAAUGCGUAGAUAUUGGGAGGAACACCAGUGGCGAAGGCGCCUUUCUGGACUGUGUCUGACACUGAGAUGCGAAAGCUAGGGUAGCAAACGG